This 253-nucleotide ribosomal RNA is filed under the name uncultured bacterium. Its description in RNAcentral is "partial 16S ribosomal RNA". It matches the Rfam family "Bacterial small subunit ribosomal RNA", at positions 524 to 776 of the family's 1533-position model. The record is from RNAcentral.
UACGUAGGGGGCAAGCGUUGUCCGGAUUUAUUGGGCGUAAAGAGCGUGUAGGCGGCCAUGUAGGUCCGUUGUGAAAACUCGAGGCUCAACCUCGAGACGCCGAUGGAAACCAUAUGGCUAGAGUCCGGAAGAGGAGAGUGGAAUUCCUGGUGUAGCGGUGAAAUGCGCAGAUAUCGGAAGGAACAUCAGUGGCGAAAGCGACUUCCUGGACCAGUACCGACGUUCAGGCACGAAAGCGUGGGGAGCAAACAGG